RNAcentral lists this long non-coding RNA (8205 nucleotides) under Heterocephalus glaber (naked mole-rat). RNAcentral's name for it is "lncRNA (ENSHGLG00000043208.1)". Lineage: Eukaryota; Metazoa; Chordata; Mammalia; Rodentia; Bathyergidae. The record is from RNAcentral.
GAUGCAACCAGAGGCUCUGAGUUCCUUCUCCAACGAAACAAAAGCCAAAAAAUAAACAAAAUAAAAUCAAAUGACAUAAAAAUGCUGCAGUCAACAACCUGCCAGUCUGGCCUUAUUGUGCCAUAGGUUAGAUAGCAUGUUCUGUCACUCAGGACCCAGGGCACAGCCUGAAUCUCUGUCCAAUCAGCGACCCUGGCCUGAGAACUGCCCAAUCAGGCCUUCAGCCGGAGAGGAGGGGGCGGGCUUUCCCAUCGCAGAGGCCUUCAUCUCCGGAGCUGUCCGGUCUGGGAUCGAUAGUGAUAGUCUGGCACCCGCUCCUUUGCUCUAGAACCCCUGGGGGCUGUAAUGCAGCCCUUUUGCUCCGUGACCUGCAGAAGCUGGGAGAUCCCUAGAGAGACACUCCAGAAGCCAAGACAUGGGUUGGGGGAGACAGCAGGAGUGAAUCAAACAGGAUUCACAGGCUGAUGAUCUUGCACGUCCAGGUGUGUUGUGUUGACUCACCUGCACAUCCAAUGGAAAGAAUAUCGAAGUAAAGGAAAGAACAUGCUGCAAGCAUCCCAUCCACAAAAGCACUACCUUCUAUAGCUGUCUUCUCAGCAGGCUCACAGUCCACCUCAAACUCAUCAUACAUGAACUGCCGAGUCAAAGAAGACUUGCCCACCCUAUUGUGCCCACCAUGAUGACUUUGCUCCAGGCCAGACAAUUCUAACCCUUAGGCUUUUUGUGGCUGUCUUGUGUCACUGAGUUUUCACCAGAGGAUUAAGAAGACAUGGCACUGCUGGCCGGUUCACUGCCCCGUGUGUUUCCAAAGCCACAGCUGAGAAAAUCCACUUAAAGGAAGAAAUUUUGGGCUCAUGCUUUCAGAGAUUUGAGUUGGCUCUGGAGAGACAGCACAUCACUGUGAAAGUGCAUAUUGGUGAACAACUGCUCACCUCGUGGCAGCCAGAACGCAAAGGGAACACAAAGGAUUGUGACAAAAUAAACACCUGAAGCCGUGCCGCCAGUAUCUAUUCCUUCCAACUAUGCUCCAUUUCCUAAAGUUCCACCACCUGACAAUAGCCCAUAUAAGUAUGAAUCCAGUCUGGAAAAUCUGGUCAGAGCCCUUGUGACACAAUCACCAGCCGAAGACCCCAGCUCCCAGCAGUGUUGCUCCAACACAUGACAUUUGAGGUUGUACUAGGAAUCAAGCCCUCAAGAAAGCUGAUCACAAAGAAGAAACUCACACAAAAGUGGGUAAUGCACAAAUAUCAAUAUAAAAAGAAGAAGGUGAUAAAAUAAGGCAACAUGACUCUUCCACAGGUGACUAAUUCAUAAGUAACAAUACAAAGAUAUCCAAAUGGAUAAAAAGGUGGACAAAAAUCAAAGAAUUAUUUUUAAAUGACCAAUAACUUUAAGGAGGGUUUAAAUAAACAGUUGAAUGAAUUAGGGAAGCUUAUGCAGGAGAUGGAGACACAAUUCAAUAAAAAGAUAGAGGUUCUAAAGAAGAGGAAAACAAAAAUCUUGGAAAUGAAAAGCUCACAAUCAAAUAAAAAACUAAAUGAGAUGCAAGCAAAGGACAGAAUUUCAGGGCUUAAGGAUAAAAGUGAUGAAUUAUCACAUCCAGAUACUAGUAAAGAAAAAAUAACAAGUUAUUAACAAAGCACCCAAAACCCUGGGACGUGGUUAAAAGACUGAAAUGAGGAAGGUGUUGAAGUUCACACUAAGUUCGUUGAACAGAAAAUCUAUUUCAAUGAAAUACUACAAAGUUCCCAAAUGUUGGAAAAGAUACUGACAUCCAUAUGUAGUAGGCAUUUAGAACCACAAAGAAGCAUGGCCAUAAAAUAAUUUCCACAAGUCACAUUAUUGUUAAAAUGCCAAGCAUAUAGAGCAGGUUAAGAAUAUUGAAAGGUGAAAGAGAGAAACUUAAAGUCACAUAUAGGGGCAGACCCAUUAGAAUAAUUGAAGACUUAUCUCCAGAAAGUAUAAAGGUCAGAAGAUCAUGAAAUGAUGUACUUCAAGCCUUGAAAGAAAGUAUCUACUAACAUAGAUUAUUAAAUUCAGCAGAUUUAUCUUUCAAGUUGAAGGAAAAAUAAAGAAUUUCCAUGAGAAUCAUAAACAAAAGAAAUUAAUGACCACUAAAACAUCAUUGCAGUAUAAACUUAAAGGAAUCCUACAUACUAAAGUGGAAAAGACAUCAGCUAUUGAGAAGAACGUCAAGCACUACAAUAAUAUAAUGAAAUAACUACUGCAUAUCUUUCAAUAAUAACUCUGAAUCUAAAUGGCCUUAUUUCUCCUAAAAGAAGUGGACUUGCAGCCUGGAUUAAAAGCAAGACUCAACUCUUUUUUGCCUUCAAGAAACACACCUCACUAAGAAAGAUAUGUAAAGUAAAAUCAAAAGGAAAGAAAACAAAGUUUUAUGAAAAUGGAAUCUGAAAAUAAGAGGAGUAGUUUUACUCAUAUAAAACAAAGGAGAAUUUAAGACAAAAUUAUUUAGAAGAGAAAAAGAAGGCCACAAUAUAUUGGUAAAAAAAUAAUCCACCGAGAAAAAUAGAAAACAUAUACACAUUGCAUAUUGGUGCAUCCAACUUAGUAAAUCAAAAUAUUUGAUGGAAAGGGACACAGCACCCAAUACAAUAAUAGUGGGUGACUAUAAAACUCAACUCUUGACAAGACAGGUCAACCAGACAAAAAACUAGCAAAGAAUCAUGAAUUGAACUGCACCUUAGACUGAACAGGAAUAUAAGGAAUAUUUCAUCCAACAACUAGAGAAAACACAAUUUUUAUAGGCACAUGAGUUGUUCCCCAAAAGACACCAUAUUUUAGUGUAUAGAGAAACUGUUAACAAAUCUAAAAUGUUUUAAAAAUUCUUAUAUCUUAUCCUAUCAUGAUAGAAUGAAACUGGAAAUUAACAGCAAGAGAAGCUACAGGAAUUGCACAAACACAUGGAGAUUGAAGGGUCUCUAUUUUUGAACAAUCAGUUGGUCAUUGAAGAAAUCAAUGGAGAAGUUUAAAAAUGCCUAGAAUCAAAUGACAAUGCAACCAAAUAACAAAUACAACCAGCAAUAACAAAAUAACAGUACAACCAACAAGAAUCUCUAGGCUAUAAAGGGAAUAAAAGGGAAAUUUCUACCUUUGAAUGGCUACAUCAAAUAAUCAGAAAGAUCUGAAAUAACUUAAUGAUGCAUCCCAAGGUCUUGGAAAGAAAGAACUAUCCAAAAUCAACCCCAACAAAAGGAAAAAAUUAGUAAAGUCAGGGAUAAAGUUGAUAUAAUGAAUACAAAAUGAACAGUACAAAGGAUAAAUGAGACAAAGUUACUUCUUUAAAAAGAUAAACAAUAUUCAAAAUCCUUUAUUUAAACUAACCAAUUAAAAGAAAAGACCAAAUCAAUACAAUCAAAUAAGAACAGGGGGAUUUAAAAAAAAAACACCACUGAAAAUCAGAGAAUCAAUAGGGAUAAUUUUGAAAAUUUAUGGAGAAUCUAGAAGAAUGAGGUAAAUUUCCACACAUAUACAAUCUACCAAAAUUAAAAUAAGAAUAUAUAAAACACUUAAACAGGUCAAUAGCAAGUCAGAAGGUUGAAGAAGUAAUAAAAAGUCUCCAAUAAAGAAUCUUAAGACCAGGCAAAUUCAGUGCUGAAUUUUAUCACACUUUUAAAGAAAUAUUACCACCAAUGCUUCCCAAAUCAUUUUAUAAAAUAUAAAGAGAAGGAAUGCUUCCAAACUCAUUCUAUAAGGCCAAUGUCACCAAGACCAGAAAAAGACACAAGAAAAAACAAUAUUAGUGAUUAAAUGUAGAUGUAAAAAGCCUUAAUAGAUUACUUGUAAACAGAAUUCAGCAAUCCAUUAAAAAGAUCUACUUGGUCUAUUUUCAGAGAUUCAAGAAUAGUUCAACAUAUGCAAAUUAAUAAAUGUUUUGCAUAACAUAAAGAGAAUCAAGGAUAAAAAUCACAUGAUCAUUUUUUUGAGGCAGAAAAAACUUCAACAAAGUUCAAUAUCCCUUCAAUGACAAAAGCCCUGAAAAUCUAGAUCUUGAAGCAGUAUACCUUAAUAUGGUAAAGGUUAUACAAAAAAUGUACAAGCAUCAUACUGUAUGUAUAAAACUGACAGCAUUUUCUCUAAAAUCAGUAAUGAGACACAAAUGUCCACUGUCUCCCCUCUUAUUCAAUGUAUUACUUGAAAUUUUAGUCAUAUCAGUUAGGCAAGAAAAAGAAAUAAAAUGGGCACGAAUAGGAGAGGAAUGAGGCAAAUUAUCUUUAGUUGCUGAUAAUACGAUUCUAUACUUAAAAGAUACUAAAUACUCCAUCAAAAGAAUUUCCAAACUGAUAAAUUCAGGAAAGUAGUAGGAUAUAGAAUCAAUAAUAGAAGAUAGAUUGCUUUUGUGUACACCAAUAAUAAACACAUUGAGAAAAUAAUCAGUAAAUACAAUUCCAUUCACAAAUGCUUCACAAAACACCUACAAAUCAACCUAACUACAAAGAUGAGAGACAUCUGCAAUAAAAAUUUAAGAAUUCAGAAUAAAAGAAUUGAAAAGAACACUGGAUGAUGGAAAGAUCUCCCAUAUCCAUGAAUCAGAAGAAUUAAUAUUAACAUGGCCAUAUCAGAAACAAUGAUCUACAGAAUCAAUGUAGUUCACAUCAGAAUUCUGAUGGCAUCCUUCACAGAACAACAAAAAUCCCAAAAUUCAGUAAAAACACAAAAGACCCAAAAUAGCCAAAUAAAUCAUAAACAAAAAAGAGAAAAGUUGGAGGCAUCACAAUUUCUGAUUUCAAAUUAUACUUCAAAGUCAUACUAACAAAACAUCAUGGUACUUGAACCAAAAAACGACAUGUACAUUAAUGGAAUAGAAUAGAGGAUACAGAAACAAACUCAUGCAACUACAGCCAUCUGAUUCUUGACAUGAGUCAACAUCAUACUCUGCCUCUUUAGCAAAUUCUCCUGGGAAAACUGGACAUUCACAAGGCAAGACUGAAACUAGGUCUGCAUCUAAAUGUAUCAAAGACCUAAGUAGAAGACCUGAAACUUUCAAGUUGCUAAAGAAAAUAUAGGAGAACUUCUUGAAGUCCUAGGCACAGGCAAAAAUGUCCUGAAUAGGACUUCAACAGCACAGAAAAUAUGAUCAAGAAUCAACAAAUGAGACUACAUCAAGUUUAUGGUUCUACACAGCAAAAGAAACAGUCAACAGAGUGAAGAGACAUUUUACAGAAUAGGAGAAAAUCUUGGCCAGCUAUUCUUUUGACAGAUGAUAAAUAUCUACAAUGUAUAAGGAACUAAAGAGUUUAACAUAAAAGGAAGAAAAAGGAAAGGAGAAGGAAAAGGAAGAGGAGGAAGAAAAGAGGGAGGGGAAAUAGCUUGAUAAAUAAAUGAAUUAAAAGUCACUUCUCAGAAGAAGCACAAAUGGACAAUGAGUAUAUAAAAAUUUGUUGAACAUUUUUAGCCAUUAGUCAAAUGCAAAACAAAAAAUUACAUUGGAAUUCCAUCUCACCCAAGUUAGAAUGGUUAUCCUCAAGAGUACAAAAAACAAUAAAUACUGAAAGGAUAUGGAGGGAAAGAGCUCUUCUAAUAUGCUGAUGGGAAUGUAAAUUAGUCAAACCACUAUGGGAAAUCAAUGUGCUCCUAAAAGAAUAUAACUAACAUAUGACUACAUUCUUUGGUACAUAUCUGAAAGUGUUAAAAAGUCAGCAUAUUAUAAAGAUACUUACAUACCCAUAUUUAUUGAAGCACAAUUCACAAUAGCCAAGACAAGGAACCAGCCUAGAUUUCCAUUAAUGGGUGAAUGGAAAAAGAAAGUGUGAUAUGUACACACAAAGGAGUACUGUUCAACUGUGGUGAAGAACAUAUUAUGUUAUUUUCAGGAAAAUGAAUAGAAACAGAGAUAAUCAUAUCAAAUGAAAUAAGCCAGACGCAGAAAUACAAGUGUCGUAUUUUCCCUAACAUAUGAAUCUAAAAUAAAAAUGGCAUGAAAGUAGAAGUGAGAUUAUUAGACAAGGGGAAGGGAAUAAAGCAAAGUUUGGAAGACAUAAGGAAGUUAAUAGAGGAGAUGGAUAUUAUCAAAAUGUGUUAGAUCCGUGAAUGAAAACACCACAUCAAAACCUAAUAUGUGUAAAAUUAAUAGAUACUAAUAAAAUAUAUUUUAAUACUGGAAAAAACUAAUAUCUAGAAUAUAUAAAAAAUUCAAAGAUUAGCCCCCCACCAAAACAACCCAUUCAAACUAUGGACAAGUAAAAUGAAUAGACACUUCUCAAAAGAGGAAAUACGAAUGGCCAAUACUUACAUGGAAAAAUGUUCAGCACCUUUGGCCAUUAAAGAAAUGCAAAUGAAAACAACCCUGAGAUUCUAUCUUACUCAAGUCAGAAUGGCUAUCAUCAAGAACAUAAAAACCAACAAAUAUUGACAAAGAUGUGAGAAAAAAGGAUACUGUUGGUGGGAAUGCAUUCUUAAAAAAAAAAAAAAACCAACCCUAGACCUAAAAGUAUUAUUCCAUUUGACCCAGGUAUACCUCUCCUGGGUGUAUUCCCAAAAGCGUUAAAGUCAUUGUACUUAUAUAUAGAGAUACCUAUGUAUCUAUGUUUAUAGAAGUUCAAUUCACAAUAUAGCUAAACUAUGGAAAUAGCCUGGAUUUCUUAUAAACACACAAGUGAAUAAAGAAAAUGUAGUAUAUAUAUGUGGAGCUUCUCAUCACACUCAGUGGGUUAAUGUUUGCUCGGGUUGACGGGGGGUGGGGUGGGGGGAUGGGUGCUACUAACUCCAAAGAGCCAGAACAUCUUGAAGUUGGGAUGUUUUCCCAACUCCAGCAGAAAUGGGCCUUGUAGGGAAAACAAGGAAGCUCCCUUGGGGACAAUCAGAUAAAAGUUAAUAAUUCACCCAAAUGGUCACUAUGCCUUGCUAACCUAAAACAAACCUCUGCACUGAGCAGAAGGCUAUGCCUUUGUUGUUCCUCGAUCAAUCUGGACCUUGAGUCAAUUUGGGGCUUCAUUUCAGUGAAGUUCCCUGACCCUCCAUAAAGAUAUUCUCUGUCUCUCAUGUGUUUCAUUUGUCUCUCUGUCAGAGUUUGCUGCCCUGAACCUGGCAUAUAUACAAAAUGGAAUUUUACUCAGCCAUAAAGAAAAAUGAAUUCAUGUCAUUUGUUGGAAAGUGGAUGGAAUUUGAAAUUAUAUUAAGUGAAAUAAAUCAGACAUAGAAGGUUAACUAUCACAUGGCUUCUCUUCUAUGAGAAACUCUAACUCUAAGAGUGAAAUAAAGGAGAGAUGGUAGGCAGCUUGGAGGCAGACUCCUUGGAGAUGGGAAAAGGGAUUCGAGGAAAGGAGAAAUGCAAGGAGAAAGGAAAAGGGAAUCAAAACUGAUCAAGAAAUUCCCCCAAACAAAUGUUAAUUAUUAUGUAUCACAGGCAUAUCCAAAUAAAACUAUGUGUAUUUAAAUGGGGAAUAUUGUGAAUUACUGGAGUCUUAAGAGUCUUGAUCUGCUUUGUGUUUUGAACCCCUGUCAGUAUAGGGCCAACAGAGGGCAUUCUGAAUGACAGAUCUUUAGGAAACACUGUUUUCACACAUUUUCAAUACCCCUCCACAUACUGUCCAUAAAAGGUAAAUUUGAAGAAUUUUAAGAAAUCUUUAAAAUGCAAUAUUGGACACUUAAGUAACCUAAAAUUUCCCAUGGAGGCACACACUAUGGACAAUGAACCUUUUAAGAAUAAUAUUCAAAUUCAUUAUUCUUACAUUCUUCUCUACAGUGUUCUUAAUGGAACAUUGUAGAAUAUUUGUAAGAAACUUUAUAUACUGAUUUGGAAAUUGAAGUAAACUUAAGGGUGUAAGGCUGGCAUUAAGUUUCAUUCCACUGAAAAACUAUGGAUGAUGAAUUUUUUUCAGUACCAGGGAUUGAACUCUGAACCUUGAGCUUGCGAGGCAGGUGGCUGAACCACUGAGCUAAAUCCCAAUGAUUAAUUUUUUUAAGAACCAUGAUCUGAUCCAUAUUUUCCAUUCCCUUAUGCAUAGUGCCCAUAAAGUUCCUAUGUCCAUAGUAAUGAGAAACCUUUGCUAAGAAGUUAGAAACUGACAUAAUCUAAAGUUUCUCAAGGUAACAUGGCUGAAAUUCAUAGAAAUUACACUGUGGAUGAUGGAUACUAAGAAUCAUGUUGUGAUACAUUAUUUCUACACACUUCUGUUAUAGUGCCUAUGAAGGGUAAAUCAUGCAGUAUAAGAAACAGUUGCAUGCCAUGCUACUUUUGGAGAAGAA